ACCUGUUUGAUCAUGACAGUUUUAUAUGCUUCUCUAAAAGAUUAAGCCAUGCAAAUGUAAGAAAGUACUACUUGAAUUAGUAAAUUUUAUUUGAAUGUGGAAACUAGAAACAGUUUCAAAUAUUUAGGUGGAUAAUUGUGGGAAAACUAGAAAUAAUACAUGCGAAAAGAGGAGACUGUGGCAACACGGAAUCCUUGCAUUAACUAGUUGUUUUCAAGAGGUGUACAUUACACUUUUGAUGAUGAACUACAGUUUACUAAAUAGCAGAUUGAUAAUCUUUUUUAUCAACGCUUCAUUCAAAUUUCUGCUUUAUCAAUUAACGUUGGUACGGUAUUGGCGUACCAUGGUUAUAACGAGUAAGGAAUUCUAUGGGAAUGAUUCCUGAGAUUUCGCCUGAGAAAUAGCGAAAAUAUCUAAGGAUAGCAGCAGGCGCGAAAAUUACCCAAUGCAAAAACUGCGAGGUAGUGACAAGAAAUAACGACAGGAUUAUUUCAGUUAUAAAAAUAACUGAAAACCUGAUUGCAAUGAGUACAAUUUAAAAAUAUUAAUUAGAAUCAAUUUGAGGGCAAGUUCUGGUGCCAGCAGCCGCGGUAAUUCCAGCUCAAAUAGUGUAUAUUAAAAUUGUUGUAAUUAAAAAGUUUGUAGUUUGAAGUUAUCACAAUUCAAUAAAAAUGGAUGGAAGUAACGAUUUAUUUCUGUCCAAUGAGUUGUGAUAUUAAGCGAACAAAGAAUCAUCUAUUCUCUGAAAGGAGGAUGGGUGAAAUCUAUUCUUUGUUCAUUUUACCAUAAAUAAAAUAGAGUGUUUAAAGCAUGUCAUUUAUUGACAAUUGAAUAAUUUAGUAUGGGAUAAUGAAAGACGAGAGAAAAAAGAGAGUACAUCUCGCAGCAUCAGGGGGGGAUUCGUCUCUUUUUUGGUGUUGGUCUUUUUUCUCUAAUGAUUAAUAGGGACAAUUGGGGCAAUUAGUAUUUCUACUCGAGCGGUGAAAUGCAUAGACAGUAGAAAGACUAAC
Molecule: ribosomal RNA, 1010 nt
Filed under: uncultured soil eukaryote
Lineage: Eukaryota
Description: SSU rRNA
Rfam family: Eukaryotic small subunit ribosomal RNA
Source: RNAcentral